AUGGCCGUGGGGCUGGGCCAAGCCGAAACCUGGAACUCCCUCUCGUGGGUGCAGGGGCCCAAGCACUUGGAGCACCUGUGCUGCUUUCCCAGGCGCGUUAGCAAGGAGCUUGGAUCGGAAGUGGAGCAAGUGCUCCUAUGGGCUGCGGGUGUCGCAGGUGGUGGGUUUUCUAAAAGCAGUGGACAGUCUCUCAGGCUGGCCCCCCGGCCACCGGCCUCUGCUUCCUGCUCCCUGAGCCCCGCUGCCUGCAUGCCUUCUCUGAGCCCCUCUGCUCUGUCGGUUUUGAAAAAACAGACUGUGACAAUGACACGUGGGAGGGGCCAAGAAAGGCCCUCGGUCAAGGGCGGCGACGCUGGAGCGGGGUUGUCUUUGCAGGGAGGCGGCAGCUGGGGCAGGGAAGGGCCAGGCCGGGGCAUCUGGCUGUGCCCAGUGCAACUCGGGGACAGGUCCGAGGCCGGAGCGGGCGGCGGGCGGGGGAGCCCGGCUCCCCCGCCCGAAGGCCCCUGGCUCACCCCUGCCCUCCGCUCCCCAGGACCGAGGCUCCGCCAUCCCGAGCAGGCCUGGGAUGGGGAGUGGCGUAAAAGAAGGCUCGGUGGCUCUGCGGGAGGAUGCUCAGGCCGUCCUGCCCUCGCCCGUCUCGUCAAAGAGUGACCACAGGCAAGUGCUCAGCUCCCUCCUGUCCGGGGCCCUGGCUGGCGCCCUCGCCAAGACGGCGGUAGCUCCCCUGGACCGAACCAAAAUCAUCUUCCAAGGUAAAUGCUGUCUGUCCCUGCGCCAGCCAGCCAGCCCCCCACCCCCACCCCCCGCCGCCUUAGUACCCCCAGGCUUCUUCAAAUUGCUUUUUUCUUUUUUUAAGAUUUAUUUGACAGAGUUACAGAGAGGUAAACACACACACACACUGAGGUCCUCUAUCUGCUGGUUCACUCCCAAAUGGCUGCAACAGCCAGAGCUGCGCUGAUCCGAAGCCAGGAGCUCCAUCCGGGUCUCCCACAUGGGUGCAGGGGCCCAAGCUCUUGGGCCGCCUUCUACUGCUUUCCCAGGCCAUAGCAGCGAGCCGGAUCAGAAGUGGAGCAGCCGGGACUUGAACCAG
Molecule: long non-coding RNA, 1090 nt
Filed under: Oryctolagus cuniculus (rabbit)
Lineage: Eukaryota; Metazoa; Chordata; Mammalia; Lagomorpha; Leporidae
Description: lncRNA (ENSOCUG00000022175.3)
Source: RNAcentral